GACUCCUACGGGAGGCAGCAGUAGGGAAUAUUGCACAAUGGAGGAAACUCUGAUGCAGCCAUGCCGCGUGUGUGAAGAAGGCCUUCGGGUUGUAAAGCACCUUCGGAGGGGAGGAAGAAAAUGACGUUACCCUCAGAAGAAGCACCGGCUAACUCCGUGC
This 160-nucleotide ribosomal RNA is filed under the name uncultured bacterium. Its description in RNAcentral is "partial 16S ribosomal RNA". It matches the Rfam family "Bacterial small subunit ribosomal RNA", at positions 334 to 508 of the family's 1533-position model. The record is from RNAcentral.